AGUCAGUAUACGCAGACCCGAAACCGGGUGAUCUAUCCAUGUCCAGGUUGAAGUUGUCGUAAAAGACAAUGGAGGACCGAAGCCACAUCCGUUGAAAAGGGUGGGCAUGAGGUGUGGAUAGGGGAGAAAUUCCAAUCGAACCCGGAGAUAGCUGGUUCUCCUCGAAAUAGCUUUAGGGCUAGCCUCGAUUUAGUCUUAUGGAGGUAGAGCACUGAAUUUCCGCGGGGGCGUUAAAAGCUUACCAAAGAAUAUCAAAACUCCGAAUGCCAUGUAGAUGAUGAUCGGGAGUCAGACUGCACGAGAUAAGUGGGCAGUCAAAAGGGAAAGAGCCCAGACCACCGGCUAAGGUCCCAAAGUGCGUGUUAAGUGGAAAAGGAUGUGGGAAUUCGAAGACAACUAGGAUGUUGGCUCAGAAGCAGCCAUACAUUCAAAGAGUGCGUAACAGCUCACUAGUCGAGACGUUCCUGCGACCGAAAAUCGGUCCGGGGCUAGAAAACACGACACCGAAGCGUGACUCGCAAUG
RNAcentral lists this ribosomal RNA (523 nucleotides) under uncultured bacterium. Its description in RNAcentral is "bacterial LSU rRNA". It matches the Rfam family "Bacterial large subunit ribosomal RNA", at positions 698 to 1214 of the family's 2925-position model. The record is from RNAcentral.